Molecule: long non-coding RNA, 448 nt
Organism: Drosophila serrata
Lineage: Eukaryota; Metazoa; Arthropoda; Insecta; Diptera; Drosophilidae
Source: RefSeq, a predicted model, not a curated record
CUUGCCAUAAAUUGCACGACUCUGCCAUGUUCCGGGUUUAGUUCACAUUUAACUUUGCCAGCUAAAAGUUCUAUAAAAAAUAAUUUUCAAAAUGAAGCUCCUAAUUUUUGUGGCCCUAAUUGCUGCUCUUGUGGCCACUUCCUUGGCUAUAAGAAACGACCGCUGCAGUUUUCCACAUCCUGCUGAUGUUAAUAAAAAACCACGCACGUCCUGUCUGGCUGCUUCUCAUAAUUAAAAAUAUGACUCGUCGGCUAAUAAGUUCAUCAUGUUCGAAUUUGGAGGCUGCGGGGGCGAUGCAAAUCGUUUUGAUUCAAAAGAGAGUUGCGAAGAAAUAUGCCUGGAAUGAAGCCAAUGUUGAAAUCGAAAGAUGAUGAAUGAACUGCUUAAUUAUAGCAACUAAAUCAAAUUAUUGUAUAAAUACAAAUAUACAUUCAGUUGCAAAAUCCCA